Molecule: ribosomal RNA, 137 nt
Filed under: uncultured bacterium
Lineage: Bacteria
Description: partial 16S ribosomal RNA
Rfam family: Bacterial small subunit ribosomal RNA
Source: RNAcentral
GCACAAUGGAGGAAACUCUGAUGCAGCAACGCCGCGUGGAGGAUGACGCAUUUCGGUGUGUAAACUCCUUUUAUAUGGGAAGAUAAUGACGGUACCAUAUGAAUAAGCACCGGCUAACUCCGUGCCAGCAGCCGCGG